CAGAUGGGAUUAGCUAGUAGGUGGGGUAACGGCUCACCUAGGCGACGAUCCCUAGCUGGUCUGAGAGGAUGACCAGCCACACUGGAACUGAGACACGGUCCAGACUCCUACGGGAGGCAGCAGUGGGGAAUAUUGCACAAUGGGCGCAAGCCUGAUGCAGCCAUGCCGCGUGUAUGAAGAAGGCCUUCGGGUUGUAAAGUACUUUCAGCGGGGAGGAAGGGAGUAAAGUUAAUACCUUUGCUCAUUGACGUUACCCGCAGAAGAAGCACCGGCUAACUCCGUGCCAGCAGCCGCGGUAAUACGGAGGGUGCAAGCGUUAAUCGGAAUUACUGGGCGUAAAGCGCACGCAGGCGGUUUGUUAAGUCAGAUGUGAAAUCCCCGGGCUCAACCUGGGAACUGCAUCUGAUACUGGCAAGCUUGAGUCUCGUAGAGGGGGGUAGAAUUCCAGGUGUAGCGGUGAAAUGCGUAGAGAUCUGGAGGAAUACCGGUGGCGAAGGCGGCCCCCU
RNAcentral lists this ribosomal RNA (506 nucleotides) under Alkalicoccobacillus porphyridii. RNAcentral describes it as "Bacterial small subunit ribosomal RNA". It matches the Rfam family "Bacterial small subunit ribosomal RNA", at positions 232 to 730 of the family's 1533-position model. Lineage: Bacteria; Bacillati; Bacillota; Bacilli; Caryophanales; Bacillaceae. The record is from Rfam by way of RNAcentral.